Molecule: small nuclear RNA, 334 nt
Filed under: Felis catus (domestic cat)
Lineage: Eukaryota; Metazoa; Chordata; Mammalia; Carnivora; Felidae
Description: 7SK RNA
Rfam family: 7SK RNA
About the family: 7SK was discovered as an abundant small nuclear RNA in the mid-70s but a possible function has only recently been suggested. Two independent studies have found that 7SK RNA binds the CDK9/cyclin T complex (known as elongation factor P-TEFb).
Source: Rfam by way of RNAcentral
GGAUGUGAGGGCGAUCUGGCUGCGACAUCUGUCACCCCAUUGAUCGCCAGGGUUGAUUCGGCUGAUCUGGCUGGCUAGGCGGGUGUCCCCUUCCUCCCUCACCGCUCCAUGUGCGUCCCUCCCGAAGCUGCGCGCUUGGUCGAAGAGGACGACCUUCCCCGAUAGAGGAGGACCGUUCUUCGGUCAAGGGUAUACGAGUAGCUGCGCUCCCCUGCUAGAACCUCCAAACAAGCUCUCAAGGUCCAUUUGUAGGAGAACGUAGGGUAGUCAAGCUUCCAAGACUCCAGACACAUCCAAAAAAAAAAAAUAUUGUGAGGAAUCUCCACACUAUUUU